ACCUGGCUGGCUUAGCUAGUGGAGCAUGAAACUCUUGAUCUCGAGGCCGUGAGUUCAAGCCCCAUGCUGGGUA
Molecule: transfer RNA, 73 nt
Filed under: Felis catus (domestic cat)
Lineage: Eukaryota; Metazoa; Chordata; Mammalia; Carnivora; Felidae
Also listed under: 3 other names
Rfam family: tRNA
About the family: Transfer RNA (tRNA) molecules are approximately 80 nucleotides in length. Their secondary structure includes four short double-helical elements and three loops (D, anti-codon, and T loops).
Source: Rfam by way of RNAcentral